This 374-nucleotide ribosomal RNA is filed under the name uncultured organism. RNAcentral describes it as "partial 16S ribosomal RNA". It matches the Rfam family "Bacterial small subunit ribosomal RNA", at positions 527 to 896 of the family's 1533-position model. The record is from RNAcentral.
GUAGGGUCCGAGCGUUAUCCGGAAUCAUUGGGGCGUAAAGAGCUCGUAGGCGGUUCAGCAAGUCGGCUGUGAAAGUUCGAGGCUCAACCUCGACAUUGCAGUCGAUACUGCUGUGACUUGAAUUCGGUAGAGGAGAAUGGAAUUCCCGGUGUAGCGGUGAAAUGAGCAGAUAUCGGGAGGAACACCAGUAGCGAAGGCGGUUCUCUGGGCCGAUAUUGACGCUGAGGAGCGAAAGCGUGGGGAGCAAACAGGAUUAGAUACCCUGGUAGUCCACGCCGUAAACGUUGGAUGCUAGGUGUGGCGGUCUACCAACGACUGCCGUGCCGAAGCUAACGCAUUAAGCAUCCCGCCUGGGGAGUACGGCCGCAAGGCUA